UGAAUACGAGAUGCUACGGCGUCGAAGCAGUCUAUGUCAUACUUCCAAGAAAAGCUCGCACUGUCAUAAACAAAUAAUGCCUGUACCAUAACCGACACAGGUGGGUAGGUAGAGUAUACUAAGGGGCGCGAGAUAACUCUCUCUAAGGAACUCGGCAAAAUGACUCCGUAACUUCGGGAGAAGGAGUGCCUUAUUUAUAAGGUUGCAAUAACAAGAUCCAAGCAACUGUUUAUCAAAAACACAGGUCUCCGCUAAGUCGUAAGACGAUGUAUGGGGGCUGACGCCUGCCCAGUGCCAGAAGGUUAAAGAAGUUGGUUAGCAUUCGCGAAGCUGAUAACUGAAGCCCUGGUGAACGGCGGCCGUAACUAUAACGGUCCUAAGGUAGCGAAAUUCCUUGUCGGGUAAGUUCCGACCCGCACGAAAGGCGUAAUGAUUUGGAUACUGUCUCGGAGAGGGGCUCGGUGAAAUAGACUUGUCUGUGAAGAUGCGGACUACCUGCACCAGGACAGAAAGACCCUAUGAAGCUUUACUGUAACUUGAGAUUGAAAUUGGACUUUACUUGCGCAGUAUAGGUGGGAGGCGUUGAUAAUAUUCUUGCGGGAUUAUUUGAGCCAUCAGUGAGAUACCACUCUUGUAAUGUUAGAUUUCUAACUUUGUAUCAUUAUCUGGUCAAAGGACAGUUUCAGGCGGGCAGUUUGACUGGGGCGGUCGCCUCCUAAACGGUAACGGAGGCGCACAAAGGUUUCCUCUGAACGGGUAGAAAUCGUAUCUAGAGUGUAAAGGCAUAAGGAAGCUUGACUGUGAGACCUACAAGUCGAGCAGGGACGAAAGUCGGUCUUAGUGAUCUGACGGUGCUGAGUGGAAAGGCCGUCACUCAACGGAUAAAAGUUACUCUAGGAUAACAGGCUGAUCUCCCCCAAGAGUUCACAUCGACGGGGAGGUUUGGCACCUCGAUGUCGGCUCAUCGCAUCCUGGGGCGGUAGUACGUCCCAAGGGUUGGGCUGUUCGCCCAUGAAAGCGGUACGCGAGCUGGGUUCAGAACGUCGUGAGACAGUUCGGUCCAUAUCCGGUGUAGGCGUUAGAAUAUUGAGAGGAGCCUUCUUUAGUACGAGAGGACCGAGAAGGACAUACCUCUGGUGUACCAGUUAUCGUGCCAACGGUAAGCGCUGGGUAGCUAUGUAUGGAGUGGAUAACCGCUGAAAGCAUCUAAGUGGGAAGCCCACCUCAAGAUAAGUAUUCUCAC
This 1243-nucleotide ribosomal RNA is filed under the name metagenome. RNAcentral's name for it is "bacterial LSU rRNA". It matches the Rfam family "Bacterial large subunit ribosomal RNA", at positions 1564 to 2817 of the family's 2925-position model. The record is from RNAcentral.